RNAcentral lists this ribosomal RNA (461 nucleotides) under uncultured bacterium. RNAcentral describes it as "SSU rRNA". It matches the Rfam family "Bacterial small subunit ribosomal RNA", at positions 26 to 518 of the family's 1533-position model. The record is from RNAcentral.
AGAAUCAACGCUGGCGGCGUGCCUAACACAUGCAAGUCGAACGAGAAAGUGGGAGCAAUCCCACGAGUAAAGUGGCGCACGGGUGAGUAACACGUGACUAACCUACCCUUGAGUGGGGGAUAACCUAGGGAAACCUGGGCUAAUACCGCAUAAUACCUACGGGUCAAAGCAGCAAUGCGCUGGAAGAGGGGGUCGCGGCCGAUUAGCUAGUUGGCGGGGUAAUGGCCCACCAAGGCAGUGAUCGGUAUCCGGCCUGAGAGGGCGCACGGACACACUGGAACUGAAACACGGUCCAGACUCCUACGGGAGGCAGCAGUGGGGAAUUUUGCGCAAUGGGGGAAACCCUGACGCAGCAACGCCGCGUGGAGGAUGAAGACCCUUGGGUCGUAAACUCCUUUCGAUCGGGACGAUAAUGACGGUACCGGAAGAGAAGCCCCGGCUAACUUCGCGCCAGCAGCCGC